AAAGACUUCUGCAGAUCAGACCUUCAUCUGAAGCUGAAGAGCUCCAUCUAGUGGACGAUGAGGCGCAUCACAGCCGUCACAUUAACCAGGAGGAUCAAACAUCAGCUGAUCAACAGGAUUUAAAGCUCAGUGUGAGAGUGAGUUCAGAGAAGAAGCAGCUUUGAAGAGAGAGGAAUGAAAGGUGUGUCUGUGGAGCUGCACACCUGUCUGCAGGUUAAUCAGCUGGACUGGACUCACCUGCACUGCAAAAAGCCAGCCUUCAAAAACAAGAACAAAUAUACAAAAAUUGGCUUCCAGCAUUCUCUCAGUGUGAAGGCUCAAAGUCAGGAGGAUAUAACUGCAGUACCACGCAGCGCCACACGGUGGAGCCACCUCUCUGCUCAGUCUGUCUGAUGGAGGAGUUUCUACCUUUACCUCCAUGCUGUGACGUCAGGACUGAGAGGAGGUUAAUGGAAACUUUGGCUGAGUUCCCCCCUCAAAACAAAAGUGCAGUGCAUUGUGGGAAACAGGAAGUGAGGGAGACUUUUUUUUUUUUUCAAAACUUUAUUGUAAAUGUAAAUAACAAACAAUGGGUACAUUCAGAUGGAGCACUCCUUGUUACAAAAAUAUCUGAAACAAACUGUACACAUUGAUAGCAGAAUUUAACCUCCUCUAAACCCCUUGUAUUUAAUCAGAAUGCUUUUAAUAUUCCUUCUGACCCUACUUUUUAUUGUUUUCUUUAUUUCAUGCUCCUGUCAUUCUUUCUUUCAUAUGUAUAUCUGUUAUAUGGCUGGUGUGAAAAUGUGAUAUACACCACAGUAAUAUGUUUUCAGUUUCAAAGGAGGUGUAAUCUCUUGAUAAUGUAAGUUCAGUAUGUGUGGUCUGAGUUUGUCAUUGUUCCUGUUCAUGUCUGAUUGUUUAAAUAAAAAAAUAAAAGAACAUUCAGAUGGAGCAUCAUACAUAAACAAUC
Molecule: long non-coding RNA, 949 nt
Organism: Notolabrus celidotus (New Zealand spotty)
Lineage: Eukaryota; Metazoa; Chordata; Actinopteri; Labriformes; Labridae
Exons: 2
Source: RefSeq, a predicted model, not a curated record